AGUGAACGCUGGCGGUAGGCCUAACACAUGCAAGUCGAACGGCAGCACAGUAAGAGCUUGCUCUUACGGGUGGCGAGUGGCGGACGGGUGAGGAAUACAUCGGAAUCUACUUUUUCGUGGGGGAUAACGUAGGGAAACUUACGCUAAUACCGCAUACGACCUACGGGUGAAAGCAGGGGAUCUUCGGACCUUGCGCGAUUGAAUGAGCCGAUGUCGGAUUAGCUAGUUGGCGGGGUAAAGGCCCACCAAGGCGACGAUCCGUAGCUGGUCUGAGAGGAUGAUCAGCCACACUGGAACUGAGACACGGUCGAGACUCCUACGGGAGACAGCAGUGGAGAAUAGUGGACAAGGCGCGAAAGUCUGAUCCAGCCACACCGCGUGGGUGAAGAAGGCCUGCGGGUUGUAACGCCCUUUUGUUGGGAAAGAAAAGCAGCAGGUUAAUACCCCGCUGUUCUGACGGUACACAAAGAAUAAGCAGCGGCUAACUUC
This 489-nucleotide ribosomal RNA is filed under the name uncultured bacterium. RNAcentral's name for it is "partial 16S ribosomal RNA". It matches the Rfam family "Bacterial small subunit ribosomal RNA", at positions 29 to 504 of the family's 1533-position model. The record is from RNAcentral.